RNAcentral lists this ribosomal RNA (604 nucleotides) under Fomitiporia neotropica. RNAcentral describes it as "partial large subunit ribosomal RNA". It matches the Rfam family "Eukaryotic large subunit ribosomal RNA", at positions 176 to 761 of the family's 3401-position model. Lineage: Eukaryota; Fungi; Basidiomycota; Agaricomycetes; Hymenochaetales; Hymenochaetaceae. The record is from RNAcentral.
CGUGUACAAGUCUCCUGGAACGGAGCGUCAUAGAGGGUGAGAAUCCCGUCCAUGACACGGACUGCUAAUACUUUGUGAUACGCUCUCGAAGAGUCGAGUUGUUUGGGAAUGCAGCUCAAAUGGGUGGUAAAUUCCAUCUAAAGCUAAAUACAGGCGAGAGACCGAUAGCGAACAAGUACCGUGAGGGAAAGAUGAAAAGCACUUUGGAAAGAGAGUUAAACAGUACGUGAAAUUGUUGAAAGGGAAACGCUUGAAGUCAGUCGCGUUGUGCAGAACUCAGCCUUGCCUCGGUUUGGUGUACUUUCUGCACAACGGGUCAACAUCAAUUUUGGCCCAUGGAGAAAGGUGGNGGGAAUGUAGCGCUGUUUCGGCAGCGUGUUAUAGCCCUCUACUGUAUACAUGGGCUGGGAUUGAGGAACGCAGCACGCCCUUGUGGCCGGGGGUUCGCCCCACGUACCGUGCUUAGGAUGUUGGCAGAAUGGCUUUAAGCGACCCGUCUUGAAACACGGACCAAGGAGUCUAACAUGCUUGCGAGUGUUCGGGUGGAAAACCCUUGUGCGUAAUGAAAGUGAAAGUUGGGAACCUCCGCAAGGGGGUGCACCGA